UUGACUUGAAGUUGGUGUCAAUGCAAAGGGAUCAAGAGUCACUGUUCUGACGGCCAAUAAUAUGAUGCAUGAAAAUUCCUUCAGCAACCCAAAUAAUGUUGUGUUGACUACCGAUGGGCAACAAGCCAUGAUGCUAAAAUUUAGUUUGUUCAACUUUUUGU
Long non-coding RNA from Sorghum bicolor (sorghum), 161 nucleotides. RefSeq lists it as uncharacterized. The transcript is spliced from 2 exons. The record is from RefSeq and is a predicted model, not a curated record. NCBI's taxonomy places the organism in Eukaryota, Viridiplantae, Streptophyta, Magnoliopsida, Poales, Poaceae.